UCCAUUCAUCCAUCAUGUGUUGUCCUCGG
Molecule: small RNA, 29 nt
Filed under: Bombyx mori (domestic silkworm)
Lineage: Eukaryota; Metazoa; Arthropoda; Insecta; Lepidoptera; Bombycidae
Description: ovarian small RNA-27073
Source: RNAcentral